GAUGAAGAACGUAGCGAAAUGCGAUAAGUAAUGUGAAUUGCAGAGUUCAGUGAAUCAUCGAAUCUUUGAACGCACAUUGCGCCCGCCAGUAUUCUGGCGGGCAUGCCUGUUCGAGCGUCAUUUCAACCAUCAAGCCCCCGGCUUGUGUUGGGGACCUGCGGCUGCCGCAGGCCCUGAAAAGCAGUGGCGGGCUCGCUGUCACACCGAGCGUAGUAGCAUACAUCUCGCUCUGGGCGUGCUGCGGGUUCCGGCCGUUAAACCACCUUCAUAACCCAAGGUUGACCUCGGAUCAGGUAGGAAGACCCGCUGAACUUAAGCAUAUCAAUAAGCGGAGGA
This 336-nucleotide unclassified non-coding RNA is filed under the name soil metagenome. RNAcentral describes it as "partial contains 5.8S ribosomal RNA, internal transcribed spacer 2, and large subunit ribosomal RNA". The stretch from base 1 to 120 matches the Rfam family "5.8S ribosomal RNA", at positions 35 to 154 of the family's 154-position model. The record is from RNAcentral.